UGGGGAAUAUUGCACAAUGGGCGCAAGCCUGAUGCAGCCACGCCGCGUGAACGAUGAAGGUCUUCGGAUCGUAAAGUUCUGUUGCAGGGGAAGAUAAUGACGGUACCCUGUGAGGAAGCCCCGGCUAACUACGUGCCAGCAGCCGCGGUAAUACGUAGGGGGCUAGCGUUAUCCGGAUUUACUGGGCGUAAAGGGUGCGUAGGUGGUCUUUCAAGUCGGUGGUUAAAGGCUACGGCUCAACCGUAGUUAGCCUCCGAAACUGGAAGACUUGAGUGCAGGAGAGGAAAGUGGAAUGCCCAGUGUAGCGGUGAAAUGCGUAGAUAUUGGGAGGAACACCAGUAGCGAAGGCGGCUUUCUGGACUGCAACUGACACUGAGGCACGAAAGCAUGGGUAGCAAACAGG
Molecule: ribosomal RNA, 403 nt
Filed under: Verrucomicrobiota bacterium
Lineage: Bacteria; Pseudomonadati; Verrucomicrobiota
Description: Verrucomicrobia bacterium partial 16S ribosomal RNA
Rfam family: Bacterial small subunit ribosomal RNA
Source: RNAcentral